CUGUGAGCUCGAUGAGUAGGGCGGGACACGUGGUAUCCUGUCUGAAUAUGGGGGGACCAUCCUCCAAGGCUAAAUACUCCUGACUGACCGAUAGUGAACCAGUACCGUGAGGGAAAGGCGAAAAGAACCCCGGAGAGGGGAGUGAAAAAGAACCUGAAACCGUGUACGUACAAGCAGUGGGAGCACGCUUAGGCGUGUGACUGCGUACCUUUUGUAUAAUGGGUCAGCGACUUAUAUUCUGUAGCAAGGUUAACCGAAUAGGGGAGCCGAAGGGAAACCGAGUCUUAACUGGGCGUUAAGUUGCAGGGUAUAGACCCGAAACCCGGUGAUCUAGCCAUGGGCAGGUUGAAGGUUGGGUAACACUAACUGGAGGACCGAACCGACUAAUGUUGAAAAAUUAGCGGAUGACUUGUGGCUGGGGGUGAAAGGCCAAUCAAACCGGGAGAUAGCUGGUUCUCCCCGAAAGCUAUUUAGGUAGCGCCUCGUGAAUUCAUCUCCGGGGGUAGAGCACUGUUUCGGCAAGGGGGUCAUCCCGACUUACCAACCCGAUGCAAACUGCGAAUACCGGAGAAUGUUAUCACGGGAGACACACGGCGGGUGCUAACGUCCGUCGUGAAGAGGGAAACAACCCAGACCGCCAGCUAAGGUCCCAAAGUCAUGGUUAAGUGGGAAACGAUGUGGGAAGGCCCAGACAGCCAGGAUGUUGGCUUAGAAGCAGCCAUCAUUUAAAGAAAGCGUAAUAGCUCACUGGUCGAGUCGGCCUGCGCGGAAGAUGUAACGGGGCUAAACCAUGCACCGAAGCUGCGGCAGCGACGCUUAUGCGUUGUUGGGUAGGGGAGCGUUCUGUAAGCCUGCGAAGGUGUGCUGUGAGGCAUGCUGGAGGUAUCAGAAGUGCGAAUGCUGACAUAAGUAACGAUAAAGCGGGUGAAAAGCCCGCUCGCCGGAAGACCAAGGGUUCCUGUCCAACGUUAAUCGGGGCAGGGUGAGUCGACCCCUAAGGCGAGGCCGAAAGGCGUAGUCGAUGGGAAACAGGUUAAUAUUCCUGUACUUGGUGUUACUGCGAAGGGGGGACGGAGAAGGCUAUGUUGGCCGGGCGACGGUUGUCCCGGUUUAAGCGUGUAGGCUGGUUUUCCAGGCAAAUCCGGAAAAUCAAGGCUGAGGCGUGAUGACGAGGCACUACGGUGCUGAAGCAACAAAUGCCCUGCUUCCAGGAAAAGCCUCUAAGCAUCAGGUAACAUCAAAUCGUACCCCAAACCGACACAGGUGGUCAGGUAGAGAAUACCAAGGCGCUUGAGAGAACUCGGGUGAAGGAACUAGGCAAAAUGGUGCCGUAACUUCGGGAGAAGGCACGCUGAUAUGUAGGUGAAGUCCCUCGCGGAUGGAGCUGAAAUCAGUCGAAGAUACCAGCUGGCUGCAACUGUUUAUUAAAAACACAGCACUGUGCAAACACGAAAGUGGACGUAUACGGUGUGACGCCUGCCCGGUGCCGGAAGGUUAAUUGAUGGGGUCAGCGCAAGCGAAGCUCUUGAUCGAAGCCCCGGUAAACGGCGGCCGUAACUAUAACGGUCCUAAGGUAGCGAAAUUCCUUGUCGGGUAAGUUCCGACCUGCACGAAUGGCGUAAUGAUGGCCAGGCUGUCUCCACCCGAGACUCAGUGAAAUUGAACUCGCUGUGAAGAUGCAGUGUACCCGCGGCAAGACGGAAAGACCCCGUGAACCUUUACUAUAGCUUGACACUGAACAUUGAGCCUUGAUGUGUAGGAUAGGUGGGAGGCUUUGAAGUGUGGACGCCAGUCUGCAUGGAGCCGACCUUGAAAUACCACCCUUUAAUGUUUGAUGUUCUAACGUUGACCCGUGAUCCGGGUUGCGGACAGUGUCUGGUGGGUAGUUUGACUGGGGCGGUCUCCUCCUAAAGAGUAACGGAGGAGCACGAAGGUUGGCUAAUCCUGGUCGGACAUCAGGAGGUUAGUGCAAUGGCAUAAGCCAGCUUGACUGCGAGCGUGACGGCGCGAGCAGGUGCGAAAGCAGGUCAUAGUGAUCCGGUGGUUCUGAAUGGAAGGGCCAUCGCUCAACGGAUAAAAGGUACUCCGGGGAUAACAGGCUGAUACCGCCCAAGAGUUCAUAUCGACGGCGGUGUUUGGCACCUCGAUGUCGGCUCAUCACAUCCUGGGGCUGAAGUAGGUCCCAAGGGUAUGGCUGUUCGCCAUUUAAAGUGGUACGCGAGCUGGGUUUAGAACGUCGUGAGACAGUUCGGUCCCUAUCUGCCGUGGGCGCUGGAGAACUGAGGGGGGCUGCUCCUAGUACGAGAGGACCGGAGUGGACGCAUCACUGGUGUUCGGGUUGUCAUGCCAAUGGCACUGCCCGGUAGCUAAAUGCGGAAGAGAUAAGUGCUGAAAGCAUCUAAGCACGAAACUUGCCCCGAGAUGAGUUCUCCCUGACUCCUUGAGAGUCCUGAAGGAACGUUGAAGACGACGACGUUGAUAGGCCGGGUGUGUAAGCGCAGCGAUGCGUUGAGCUAACCGGUACUAAUGAACCGUGAGGCUUAACCUUACAACGCCGAAGGUGUUU
This 2566-nucleotide ribosomal RNA is filed under the name Escherichia coli. RNAcentral's name for it is "bacterial LSU rRNA". It matches the Rfam family "Bacterial large subunit ribosomal RNA", at positions 397 to 2925 of the family's 2925-position model. The record is from RNAcentral. Lineage: Bacteria; Pseudomonadati; Pseudomonadota; Gammaproteobacteria; Enterobacterales; Enterobacteriaceae.